AAAUUUAUGGCUUUGCAUAUCGCGCUAUGUUAUUUUUGUCUUUCAAAGCUGGAGGUCUUUAUUCACACUACUUUAUAAUACAGCCUAUACCGUAAUAGUAUUGUUUACAACUUGAAGAGAGAUCAAUAUAUUGUUGAUGUACUUGAAAUAAUUUAUACAGGUCUAGUAAAACAGUUUAUAAUAACUGUAAAAUUAAAAAAAAAGGGAUUAGAAGUAAUUUAUGUUAAUUUUGGUUAUUUGUUUGCAUUUUAUAUUUCAUCAUAAUAUGUAUAAUAAUAUUUACAAAAUUAUUAGUCAUUCAAUAGGGUGGAAAACAUGGAAAACACUUAGUGGAACAUAUAGUGGAAAACACUUUUACCGACAAAUCUCCGUAAAGUACCCUAUUUAUAAACAAGUCAAUAAUUUUAAAUCAUAAUAAUUUGUUUUUAUUAUUGUAAAUUCUUAAACUCAUUUUCCUCCCCUCAAAAAUUCCAUAAAAUAUGCAUUCCAAAUAUCCAAAAAUAUGCAUGCAUGUAUAAAGUUUCUUCAGACUAAAUUUUAAGGUUAGAAGUGAAUACUGUUCGGUUCGAAGUUAAUUAACCUUGUUAUUAUACAUGCAUUAUUACAAAUGAUUUUAAUUUUAUAAAAAGAGCAAUGUGCUAAAGCAUUAUUAUAUAUGAUAAUUAUGGUAUUAGUGUUAAUAUAUUGUAUAUAGAGAUAAAGCGUUAAAAUUAUAUUUGUAUGUAAUUAUUUAAUAAUAUUUCAUUAUAUUCUUGUUUAUUGUAAUCAAAAACAUGUAUAAGCAGAAUGAUUACUCUCAAGAUAGGGAUGGAGUUCACUGUCUACUUAACGGUUCUUAAAUCUACUCUGAAUUGUUAAAGGUUAGAAAUACAAUUCAUUAAGCAUGUUUAAGAUUUUGGUUAAUUUUAACAAUUACAAAGAAAAAUAUAUCAUUUCCCUUUAAUAUUGAGGUAGUAAUACCGUCAUUUAGAAGCAUAUAUCUGGCUCGCUGAUAUUUAUCUUGCGUUUUAGGGUAUAAUUACCUCAAGUCAUAAAUUUCAAUAUUUAAUUUUCUGUAAAAACUAUAUUAUAUCGUCACAAUUACGUUCUUUGUAUGCAGUUGUAGGGACCGCUAAUUCUCCGGAACGCAUUUAUGUUUCAACGAAUGUUCCGCACAUGGGAUCGGUUUUUGUUAGAGAAGGAGAAUUAUAAAAGACAGAUGAAACGAAGGAGGAAUACUUAGCACGCAUCAGAAAUUCAUGAAAUUUUCGCGAUCUAAAAGAACCGUUUUCCCUAACAAUUUUGUAUAAUUAUAAUCUUCAAUAAAUUUUAAUACGAAGUUUAAAAUAAUUGAAAAAUUCAAUAAUUAAUUAAAUUAUUCGGUACUUAAGCUUUCAAUAAAUACUUUCAAAUAUUUA
This is a long non-coding RNA of Bombus terrestris (buff-tailed bumblebee), 1397 nucleotides long. RefSeq lists it as uncharacterized. NCBI's taxonomy places the organism in Eukaryota, Metazoa, Arthropoda, Insecta, Hymenoptera, Apidae. The record is from RefSeq and is a predicted model, not a curated record. The transcript is spliced from 2 exons.